Molecule: microRNA, 24 nt
Filed under: Panax ginseng (ginseng)
Lineage: Eukaryota; Viridiplantae; Streptophyta; Magnoliopsida; Apiales; Araliaceae
Description: pgi-miR6143b-5p
Source: miRBase by way of RNAcentral
ACAAUGUCGACACGCAGGCGGAGA